This 6616-nucleotide long non-coding RNA is filed under the name Marmota monax (woodchuck). The record is from RNAcentral. Lineage: Eukaryota; Metazoa; Chordata; Mammalia; Rodentia; Sciuridae.
CUCUAGGCAUGCUAUUAAUGUUUGAUUUAGAUUAUACAGCUUUUACGUUUGCCAUAUAUCUUUCUUAAAAAAAAAACUUAAAAGGGCUACCUAUCCAGCCCUUUCCUGGACACAGUUCCUUGAAGGAUUAUGGAGCCUCAUAUAGUCUCAGAGAAUUUCCUCUUCUGGAGUCUAAUUUUGCUCUUUACCUGAUCCUGCCAAACUGAGAAAAUAAACAUGAGUUGUUUCUUCCAUACGGAAUAACUCUCAAAACCACUCUAGUUCUUAACAAAGAGGCAAAAAUAGCAGUGUUUGAAGUUUUUCUGGUAAAAGCUUUCUUCUUAUACAAAUAAUCCUUCCCAGUUGUAUAGCACUUUAUACUUUUAAAAAUACUUUCAGAUGCAUUACCUUAUUUGAAUUUCAGUGAAUUCUAGCCAUAAAAGGAAUUUUCUAUAUUAUGGGUUUUUAUGUACUGCUUUUUCUGCUAUCAAAACCAAUAAAAUGUUUGACAUGGAUAAUUGGUUUCUUAAAACCUCAAUACUCUCAACCUUUCACUGUUUUCUCUUUAGUUUUCCCCUUUCUCUAUUUAUAACUAGAGAGCAUUUUAUGCUAUUGCUCAGUUUUCUUGAUUCUGCCAAAAUUACUCAGCUGAGUAACAUCCCAAGACCUAGAAAAAGUUUCCGUGGUGAUAAAUAUCUGGCCUUCUAUGUUAAAGCUGUCCUGGUCAUUCACUGGUAGUUGGAGAUUAACUGUGGGCUGAAGCUGUGGAAGGCCAUUAGGGGCUAUCAACCACUUUAAAAGCCAGACUAAGGCUUGGAUUCAAACCCUGGAUUUAUCAUUUUUUUUUAAUUAUUAUUAUUAUUUUUUAAUAUUUACUUUUUUUUUUUUAGUUUUCAGCGGACACAACAUCUUUGUUUGUAUGUGGUGCUGAGAAUCGAACCCGGGCCGCACGCAUGCCAGGCGAGCAUGCUACCGCUUGAGCCACAUCCCCAGCCCCUGGAUUUAUCAUUUAAUAGCUAUGUGGUGUCCUCUGUAAAUGAUGACAUCCACUUGUCCUCACUUGUAAAGUUUCUAGGUGCAGGAGAGUUCCUGUCUUACAGUGGGCAUUGAAUGAGUUUUAUGUCUCACAGAAGGAAGACUGUUGAAGAGAAGAGUCACCCACAGUUUAGGAGAUAAGGACUGGACUAUAUCUUCUUGAUGGAAGUAGAAAUGGGAACUUCUUAAACUCUGGGGCCCUUGUAUGCCCUGCUAAACUCUGACCAGCCACCACACCUGCCAAAACCAGACAACCUUCUGAAAAUAAAAUAGACAACACACUUGGGCUAGUCAUAAGGCACCUGCACACCAAAAAUCCCAAGUUAUCCUCAGCUGUGCACAGCAGAUGGCCCCAAUUAGCCCCAGAAUUAUGCAACAGCAAACCCAAACAUUGCUAGCCAAUUAACAUCACUCAGGCAUUUUACUUUCCUAAAAUAUGGGAUAGAGAGUUUUGAGUGCUUUGGCUUAUAGAAAACAAAAACAAAAACCAUACCCCUUUUCUGUAAACCUCACUGGAGAGUGUUUUCUAGACCUUUACCUAUUUCUGAGCUAGGUUCUCCACUUGGCAAUAAAGCUUUUCCACUCAGUCUCAAUCUUAGGUCUCUAAUACUCAUUAUUUUUCUUUAACAGCAAACAGAAAGAAGUCAUUUCUUAGUCUUGGCAGAAGACAUGGCAAUUAUUCCCCUAUGGGAGAAAAUAAAAGAAAGCCCCAGUGAACUUGCCAUGAUAGCUAUUGAUGCUUUGCAUAAAAGAGAACAAAACUAUAAGAACAGUCACAAGGUUGGAAUAAGUUGCUUCAACAGGACAAUCAAUCUCUCUGACUAGCCUGAUUCAGUGUCAGAGAAGCUAUACUGAGUAUUUACAUUGGCCAAAACUGCAUUAGAAGCCAAAAAAAUGAAAAUGAGUAAAACAUGGUCCAUAUCCUAAGGGCUUCAACACCUCAUGGGAGCUGGGCAUGGUGGUGCACACCUCUAGAAUCCCAGUGAUCCUAGAGGUUGAGGCAGGAGGAUUGCAAGUUCGAGGCCAAUUUGGUGACUUUGUGAGAACUUGUCUCAAAAUAAAAUAUAAAAAGGGCUGAAGGAAUAGCUCAGUGGGUAGGGUGCCCUUGGGUUCAAUCUCCAGUACUGUCAGAAUAAACAACAACAACAACAAAAAUGCCUAAAGGGAAAAGAUAAACACAUAAUGUAACACAUCAUGAUAUUGGUUGAUACUGAAAAAGACCCAAAAUGAAAAGUACUCCGGAGGAGUACUCUGGUGAGUGGUCAAUUCUAACUGUGGAAUAAAAGAGAAGACUUCACACAGGGGAAAUACUGAUGUUAAUUAGGACCUUCAUGUUGGUUCUAGCAAGUAGUUAUUAUGUGAAAAUGAAACAAAUUAUGGAGUUUACUGACAAUUCAAAUUUAUCCUAAUUCUUCUAUUUUUAUUAAUCUUUUAAAUUUGUACAUAAAUAUUUAUUUCACAAAUAUGUAUUUAUAUAUGUUAUCUAUACCCAGGUUUAUGGAUGUGUGUGAAUUUAUGUAUAUAUAAAAUAAAUUUAUGUAUUCAUAUAUGUAUAUGAAAUACUAUGCUUUUGUAACUUGUUUCUGCUUCUCUGGUAUAGGUUCAAGUGCUUAAAUGCUUGAAGCUGUUUUUUCUGCUAUGUAUUGUAGAUACGCAUGGUGAUUUCUUUUGCAUAAACUAAAACUUGGAUCACUCUCCAUUAUACACUCAUGAACUGUAUAAUGUCAUUUUGGUCAACAAUAGGCUGUAUAUGAUGGUGGCUAUUCCAUAGCCUAUCUGUGUAUAGGAUACACCAGCUAAGUUUGUGUAAGUAUAUUCUACGAUGUUUGCACAAUGACAAAAUUACCUGCUGACAAACAUAUUCCUAUUUUUAAGUGACUACAUAUAUUUGUAUAUGCAUGUAUACUUCCUUUUACAUGAAUUCUAAUACUACCUUCCUUUCUUCUUUUGCAAGACUUCCAUCUUCAUUUUCCACUCUGUAUUUUCUUUAUCAUGCUUGUCUUAUAGUUUGCCUGCAUCAACCAUUUUGAGACUUGGCAACGUGCACCAGGAUCCCUGGAAAAGAGAGCACUGGAGAGGCCCAGAGUUGUAAUCUUUCAUAUAACCCUGCUCCUACUUUUAAGUCUUCAUGCAGUUCAGCAACUUGCAAAUAGGUUUGCACUUUGAAAAGUGCUUCUGUCUUUACUGAACAGAGGUGGUUUAUGUGUAGCAUUGCUCUCUUGUUAGCCCUUAGGAGCAUUUUUGUUUAAUAAUAUAUUUGCUGGAGCUCUCUGCUUCAACCUUUCUAAUGUUGUCCCUUCUUCAACUGUCUCUGGGUCAAGAUGAUCCAAAAAGAAAGGAUUUAUCCUGUUCCCUUUACUUUACCAGGAAGAAAGUUCCAAGUAAUGUCACCUGAAAAGGUUCCCUGAUUAGGACAAAGACUAUUUUCUGCACUAUUCCAGGAAGCACCCUUCCCAGCUACUGAGAUUAAGUCACAGAAAUUUACUUAUUCAUCAUUACAAGCCCACUCUUGAGUAGUGGAGCAGCCCUGUUGGAAGCUUGCCUCAAGUCCCUUCUAUUAUAUAGGCCACAAAAGCACUUUUCAAACUGUAAUGCAUCAUACAAGUACAGGAUAUUAUUGCAAUUAUAAUAGAAACGGCAACCCAUUAAUAAGCAAGUCUUCCCAGGGUGUGGUGGUGCAUGCCUGCAGUUCCAGCUACUGAGGAGGCUAAGGUAGGAGAAUGGUUUGAGUGCAUGAUUUCAAGACAAGCCUGGGAAACAUGGUAAGACCCCCAUCUUAAAAAAAAAAAAAAAAAUUGAAGAAUAAGUCUUUGUGCACAGGUCACAUCCAUCCCUUUUUCCUUUAGCACCAUAUAUAUGAAUGACUCUGGGCCUAAUUUAUUCUAGGUACAUAUGUGUUUUGAUUAUCAUCUAGCAUUUAUAUCAUUUAUAAAUAUCUUCAGAUUUAAAGGGGAAAAAAAUCCCGUGAACAGAUUUGCCUACCUACCUCUGUAGAGCUAAAACAUACACUAGUAAUUUACAAGAAAUAAGAACUAAUUCUGUCAAAUCAACUGGCUCCUAAAGGUAAUUUCCAAAUCCUCCAUGUUUACCUUUUCUCCUUUAAAUUUUCAUAUUCUAAUUUUUCCUUGUCAUCCCCUUCCCAUUUAGGCUGAAAAUACUUGUUAUUCUUAUGGCAGUAUAAGGCAUAUGACACAAUAUCAAAUGGUAAUAUUCACUAAUUAAUGGAAUUAUAUCAAUGAAACUGUUGAAUUUUAAGUGUGGCAUACCAAAUUGCUAUUAAUUAAUUAAUUAAUUAAUUGCUAUGAUUAAAACAAAGUAAACAUCGUAUAUGUACUCCCCAGCGCCCCCCCCCACCGUGUGUGUGUGUGUGUGUGUGUGUGUGUGUGUGUGUGUGUGGAGUUGGGGGGCAGAUACAAUUGAGAAGGAAUAUACAGAAACAAAAGAAUUAUUAUACAGCAAUAUAGGAAUUAUCAGUGACUUAAAAAAAAUCCCUUGUAAAAAAAUUUAAGUCUGGCUGGGAAUGUAGCUCAAUAUAAAGCACUUGCCUAGCACAAGUGAGGCCUUGGGUUCCAUCCCCAGUACAGCCCCCACCUCAAAAAUAAAGUCUAUUUAAUAAGAAAGAAAAUGGAUGCCUUUGGGUUUAUAUGUUUAUGCCACUGAGCUUCCUUCCCUCUGCCUCCCAUCUUCUACCUUUGCACUUUCUUUUGUGAUUCUUGCCCCUCCCCUCACCAAGUGUUUGAAUGUAAGAAGCCAUCUGCUUCUGUUAUUUAUCCUGACCACACAUUCUGCAUAAGCGACAAGUGGGGUCAGUAUCCAAAUCCUGGUUGCUUCUUCCUGUGUGUUUCUUCUCUGAAGUGUGAUCUGCACAGUUAAGCACUGUAGAUGAGCCUUGAGUCACAUUCCCUGAUUGUCUCCUUCAAGCUCCCUCAUCAGUGUGACAAGGAAACUGAAAGACAAUAUCCUUCUCACCUUCAGCCUUUCACUUAUUUGCACAGAUGGCCCAAUCUGAAAUCCGUCCUGGGGCAGAAUUAAAAACAGUUUUCCUAAUCCCUUUCUUUGGUGUGUCCCCUAAUUCCCCUUUAACCACAAAAUUAUUCUCUUUGCCCCUUUACAGUAUACUUUGUGCCUUGUGAGUCAUGCUUCAGGAAAUUUUUUUUGCUUGCUUUGCAGUAAGCUUAAAAAACCCAAGAAUUUAAAAAUAUUAGUGCUUCUCAAUUCCCAAUGGCUUCCAUUUUAGUUUUGAAAAUGCCAUUGUUAAUAUAUCAUGUUUAUGUAGGCAAAAGUAUGCCAAAAUAUAAAAUCUUGUGAUAGAACGAUAACUACUGAGUUAACAAGGGAGGCUAUAAUAUAAUGAUAAACAUUGCAAUAAAAGAAAGUCUGUAAUAUACUAGGUGUUAAUGGAUUAAAAAUAUUUAAGAGGAGCAAAUAUGUUAUAAUAAUAAGAAUUUAAAAAGUUGAGUGAUCUGUGGAUAUGUGUUCCUUUGUCAAUUUCUACUGUUUGUAUGCCUGUGUUUUUUCACAAUUUUUAAAAGAUUUCAUUGUUAAAAUUUCCUAUUGCGUUUUGCUGACCAUUUGAACUAUUUUACAUAUACUAUUGAAAUCUUGCAGAAAAAUAGCAAUGAGAUAAGUUUGAAAGUGAAAGGAGAGAGAAUCUUUACAAAGUGGGGAGUUGUGGGAGACAAGUUGCAGUUAACAGAACAGUUAAAUUAAACAAAGGUAGAUAAAUUACAGAAGUUACAAAGAAGAACUAAAGUGAGUUACCUAAACAAUAGAGGAACUAAAAGUGAGACACCCAUCCUGGGAGGGAGGAGGGUGUAAGUGAACUAAGCUCUCAUCUAACAGAAUAGGAAGGAAGUCCACAGAUCAGAUAAAGUCUGAUAAAUAAAGAAGUGGCAAUAUGACUGUAUUAUUUAGAGAUAGGGAAGUAACCACCCAGAAGAAUUUUUUAAAAUGUAACUGUUAAAAAGUUAGACUUUCUCUAGAGUUUUAGUGGAAGGCAAAAUGAUGUUGUAGAAACAAGACAUAGCAGCAAAGCAUCCUUACAUUCCACAAUAAACUCUUCAACCUGAACUACAUUUUUGUUGUUGGUUUUUUUGUUUUGUUUUGUUUUUUGUUUUUUGGUACCAGGUAUUGAGUCCAGAGGGGCUUAACCACUGAGCCACAUCCCCAACCCUUUUUUAUAUUUUAUUUAGAGACAGGGCCUCACUAAGUUGCUGAGGCUGACUGUGAACUCUCGAUCCUGCCUCAACCUCCUGAGCCACUGGGAUUACAAGUGUGUGCCACCACGUGUGACCUGAACUACAUUUGAUUACAAAAAAAAAAAAAAAAAUUUAAAGGGGAGUGUGUAGCUCAGUUGUAGAGUGAUUGCUUACCAUUUAUGAGGCUAUGGGUUCAAUCCCCAGCAGUGGAGGGGGGAGGAAAUAGAUAUAUAUCAAUAAUGCAAUAGUAAGGCUGUUAAACCCAAGAAAUAAAAUACUCCUCUCUUUAAUACUCCAGCCUAAUUAUUUUUCACUUCUUGAGCUAUUUUGCAUGCACUAUGAUAAGUUAUAUACCUCUUCAUCUUUUAAUUGGUAUUCUGAAAUUACCCUUUAAUUGCUUUCCU